RNAcentral lists this ribosomal RNA (301 nucleotides) under uncultured bacterium. RNAcentral's name for it is "partial 16S ribosomal RNA". It matches the Rfam family "Bacterial small subunit ribosomal RNA", at positions 510 to 808 of the family's 1533-position model. The record is from RNAcentral.
AGUAGCCGCGGUAAUACGUAGGUGGCGAGCGUUGUCCGGAUUUAUUGGGCGUAAAGGGAGUGUAGGCGGUCUUUUAAGUCUGAUGUGAAAGCCCACGGCUCAACCGUGGAGGGUCAUUGGAAACUGGGAGACUUGAGUGCAGAAGAGGAGAGCGGAAUUCCAUGUGUAGCGGCGAAAUGCGUAGAUAUAUGGAGGAGCACCAGUGGCGAAGGCGGCUCUCUGGUCUGUAACUGACGCUGAGGCUCGAAAGCGUGGGGAGCAAACAGGAUUAGAUACCCCAGUAGUCCCUGUCUCUUAUACA